AUCUAUGGCCAUACCUCCCUGAAUGUGUCUGAUCUUGUCUGAUCUCGGAAGCCAAGGAGGGUCGGGCCUGAUUAGUACUUGGAUGGGAGAAUGAAUAGAUACACCUUGGCUAAAGGAA
Chlorocebus sabaeus (green monkey) is the source of this 118-nucleotide ribosomal RNA. NCBI's taxonomy places the organism in Eukaryota, Metazoa, Chordata, Mammalia, Primates, Cercopithecidae. The record is from Ensembl.